RNAcentral lists this ribosomal RNA (423 nucleotides) under uncultured bacterium. RNAcentral describes it as "bacterial SSU rRNA". It matches the Rfam family "Bacterial small subunit ribosomal RNA", at positions 357 to 772 of the family's 1533-position model. The record is from RNAcentral.
GGGAAUUUUGGACAAUGGGGGAAACCCUGAUCCAGCAAUGCCGCGUGUGUGAAGAAGGCCUUCGGGUUGUAAAGCACUUUUGUCCGGAAAGAAAACCUUUGAGUUAAUACCUUGGGGGGAUGACGGUACCGGAAGAAUAAGCACCGGCUAACUACGUGCCAGCAGCCGCGGUAAUACGUAGGGUGCGAGCGUUAAUCGGAAUUACUGGGCGUAAAGCGUGCGCAGGCGGUUCGUUAAGACAGAUGUGAAAUCCCCGGGCUUAACCUGGGAACUGCAUUUGUGACUGGCGAGCUAGAGUAUGGCAGAGGGGGGUAGAAUUCCACGUGUAGCAGUGAAAUGCGUAGAGAUGUGGAGGAAUACCGAUGGCGAAGGCAGCCCCCUGGGCCAAUACUGACGCUCAUGCACGAAAGCGUGGGGAGCAAA